RNAcentral lists this long non-coding RNA (497 nucleotides) under Pan troglodytes (chimpanzee). RNAcentral describes it as "long non-coding RNA NONPTRT009417". Lineage: Eukaryota; Metazoa; Chordata; Mammalia; Primates; Hominidae. The record is from RNAcentral.
UGUCCCUGUGGCCGUUGGCUGAUGUUGCUGAAAUUCCAGGGCUCUGGAGUGUCCACAUGUCCACGGGAUGGGAAGCCUGUUGCAGACCAGCCACCAUGUCCCUGCGGCUCAGGACCACGAUCCUGAAGCCCAGAGUCCUGCCCUGGGAGCAGGUCUCAGUCAGGACUGACUCCUGAGAAGAAUGAGAGGGGAAGUGCCUCCAGGCCGGGAUGCCAGCUAUAGCAGCGCCCUCCAGCAACGUCCUGGAGGAAGCACCUCAUUCGUGCCAAACUCACUAAUUCUAAUUCGUCAUCGUGAUUCUUCACAAUGAAGAAAAACUCCAAGCCAGUGCCUUCCUGGGGCAUGGCAGGCCUCCCUCUGGUCUGAGCAGGCAGCUGUGCCCAGACCUGGGCUCUUCCGAAGAUGGAGUCUUGCUCUGUUGCCCAGGCUCGUGGCGCGAUCUCAGCCACUGCACUGCGCUGCAACCUCCGCCUCCUGGGUUUAAGUGUCAAACCCGC